GUAAAGGCAAAUUAUAUCAUCCUAGACUUCCUGGAAGGGGAAAAAAAUGAAGAGCUAGUUAAACUCUCCUAGUAGUUAAAAAUUCUUUUUGCCCAAGGGGAAUGUGAAAAAACAAUAGAGCUUUUAAGCAGUGCUGCUGUUCCCCUUGCCCAUGCUCAAGGUGGCAUGUAGAUCAGUAAAGACAGCAUUCUUUCCAGUGUGAAAGCAGUGAACAGGGUUCUCUUUAUAAAUAAUUUACUCCAUAAGAGUAUGUGAAUUAGUAUAUCACUGCUAUACUAACCACAACCAGUCAUGUAAAAGCACUAUGUGGAGGAUUAAAAUUGUUGCCUUAAAUAUGGUAGCGCAGGUCACAACUUUUUAAAGAGACCUUAAUGGAUUUUAGAAUUUUGGCUGCCCUUGCAGAAUCCUCGGAGGUCACUCUGAGUGACAGCUGGAGUGAAAAACUUUUUUGUGACCUUUGGAACAGUUUUAAACAGUGAGAUCAUGACAGGAAUCAAAUUUAAGAGAAGAGGUCAACUACAGAUUUAUUUUUAAGUUUCAAGAAGAUGUCUUGAGACACCAUUCUCUGUUGGCAGAAAGAUUCCUGAGCUAGGACUGGUUUGUCUCUUAAAACUUAAAUUUUCUUCCCUCUCAUAGGAAAAUGUAACAAGAUUAAAAUAGAAAUCUUGUAAUCUAAUAUUUAACUUUAUUUGUUUCCAUAUAUUCUUUUUGUGCACAUCCUCCUGCAUUGCAAGCAGUGCAUCAGGACUGCCAGAGCCUGUGCAUAUUCUUCCUGCCUACAAGCUGUGCUAAUGGGCCUCAGAAAGUAGAAACAGUCUUUUUUGGAUGUUGGAGAUCAGUAUCAGUGUAGUUAAGCAAUAGAAUUAGUAAGUGGAGAAGAGCAGCUAGUCCAUGCCAAAAAUACCCCAAAAAUCUCAGUAUCUCUACAGAUGAAAAAUGGAAGAGUCAGAGGAACCCAUUACAGACACAAAUAUAAGGCAGAUAUUGAAACCAUCAUAUUUUCUUCAUUUUAAGAAGGGGACAAGGACCCAUCAAACAGUCUGCCUGUUUUCUGCAUGGUCUUAUGUCUGCACAGUGUAUGGAGCAGGAGGGCCCUGUUGAAGCAGGAGUGCAUGUAAACACCUAAACACACAGGCUGUGUACAGCAGAUCACACCAUACACCUGUACAGCUCCUUCACAAAUGAAUGAAUGUGCACAAAUGCUGUAAGGCUUCAAGUUUGAAUAUUUAUCACAGAGAGAUUCUCGUAAUGGAAAUAUUUUUUUGAUUGAAAAAGCAUGAAAAAGGAAGAAUUGUCCAAAUGAAUGGUUAUUUUUGCCUACUGUACUCUUCUCCGAGGUUGGAGUUAGAUUGUUAUGAGCUCCAAGCGACUUUAAAAUCAAAUUUUCUUUGAUCACAAAGACACAUUCUAAACUGUGUGCCUAUUAUCUCUCUUGUGAUAUUCCAUAAAAACGUUUAAUG
Molecule: long non-coding RNA, 1460 nt
Filed under: Zonotrichia albicollis (white-throated sparrow)
Lineage: Eukaryota; Metazoa; Chordata; Aves; Passeriformes; Passerellidae
Description: lncRNA (ENSZALG00000007902.1)
Source: RNAcentral